GGAGUUCCGGUUUGCCUCAAACGCAAUCUGGAUGCUAACGGCAGCGCUUCGGUGCUGACUUCUAUUUUAUCCUUCUGGUCAGUACACGGUGAAAACAUACCAAAACUACUCUGUAAGAUGUUUACUUCUUAUUUGACCUGUAUACAGCUCUGUGUUAGGGUUUUGUGCACCGUUUUACCAUUAGUUGCCAGUUUUAUCAAGCGAGGGUAAAGUUGGCAGCACGUCAGCCCGCGCUGGGAAAGACCCGCGAGAACUGUGGUCAAAUCUGCUGAAGGAGUCUGGCACAUCCGCACAGCCAGUGUAUCAGCACUGCAUGGAAGGAGAGCUUCAGGGAAGGAUGCCCCUCUAAACUCAACACUUCUCUAACCCUGACAUUUAGCAGCCCGACAUGAAAACUGGUUGAACAGCAGCAAUAUCAGUCAUGGCGACAACAUUCUGCACCUCAGCAAAGGCAAUCCACACUCAGAUGGGAUGUGCAAACCCCUUCAAUGCCUCCAUGCUGCUCUUCCCCCCCUCCACUCCGCCAUCCAUCCCCUUGUAUUGGCAGACUGGGAAGCAGAUGAUCAUCCUUUGAACCCAUUACUCAGCCUGAUCCUCUUAUCAUAACCAACCUUCCUGAGUCUCUAAUUUGGGGUCUGCCAAACUCCGCUCUGUGCACAAUGUGGCUUUCGUUUCUCUCCCGUUGAGCCCUUCUUCUUCUUCUUCUUCUUUUUUCUACCUCAUCAAUAUGUGUGUGAGGGAAGUGAGUCAAAGGAGAGCGAACAGGGAUCCUCUGCACACAUUUGCGCACCUAUCUCAGGGGAUAUUCCAGCACUCUGAAAUAAGUCAAACAUGUGGGUGGGUCAGUAUUCUGGGAACACAAAAGCUUCAUCUUCAGCUACCUGCUACUCACCUUUCCAAGGAAUCGCUCAUUUUCCCUCCCUGGCUCUGUGUCCUGUAAAUAUCACAUUCCUCCCCUAUGGCAUAUAGCACAUGUUCGGUGCAUUCCUCUGUGGGGGAUGUGGUCAAUUAAAUGGGCUCGCAAUCCCACCCAGUGUGGGGAAUACACCACAAUGUCUUAUUGUUUUAAAUGGAAGUAUAUCAAACGUUGGGAGUGAAACAAUGGGAGAAAAAAAUCCUUCCACGCCGGGUGUCAGGGGUAUACACGAUGUAAACAAAUAAAUGUCUUCAUUUGCAUCA
Poecilia reticulata (guppy) is the source of this 1179-nucleotide long non-coding RNA. RefSeq lists it as uncharacterized. The record is from RefSeq and is a predicted model, not a curated record. Lineage: Eukaryota; Metazoa; Chordata; Actinopteri; Cyprinodontiformes; Poeciliidae.